AAUUGAUGUCAUCUACAGACGCAGUAACACAGGAGCAGCCGGCAUGUCUCUCAGCUGAGAAGGGAGGAAAAGAACAAUUGUUUACAAUAUACAAACCUCCUUUCUAAUGGACUUUGUGAACUUUGUAAAUAAAAAAAAUUUCAAAAGCAGGCUUCACUACACAUCCGACAAUCCGCCAGUCAGCUAUAGACGUACGAGCUCCUCGCGCCAUUCUCUGGUUUCGAGCUGUGUCUCUCGUCUCCCUGGAUCCCCUUUGGACUACCUGCUGCCUUCCUGGAUCUCGACCUCUUGCCUGGACACGGAUUCUGACGCCUCGCUCCUGUCCUUGACCAUUUGCUUGCCCACGGACCUCCGAGCCUGCCUUGCCCCUUCUGGACUUCCGCACCUCUCACAACACGCACCUUCAACAUUGUACGGUAACACUCACUAGCUAGACCAGGGGUGUCCAAAAUGCGGCUCGGGGGCCAUUUGCGGCCCGCGGGUAAUUUUUUAACGGCUUUAAGCACAUUAUAAAAAUACGAUUAAAAAAAUAAAAAACUGAAAAAGUGGUAUAAAAGAGUAAAGAGGUGAAAUGUGACAAGAAAAUGUUGCAAUGUUUACUCUAAUAACACAAAACUGCCAUGCAGGCUGUUAUUUUCUUUAAAAAAAUGUUUUUAACCAAAAUCAAUGUCACAUUAAAUAUUCCACUUUGAGAUAUUUUUGGGGGAAAAUGUUGCAUAUUUUGUGUUUGCCAUAUGAAAAAUAAAGUUUUUUGUUUUUUUUUCUAAAGAAGGGCCUAAUAAGAACAAACAAAAAACAUAAACAACAGUAAAAGUUAUAAUUGACAGAUGAUCUGAAGUUGAUCUCAAGACGAUUGUUGACAGUUAAUAGUAAAAAAAAAAAAGUUUUUUAUUUUUAAUGAGUAGGACCCUAUUGGAUCCCCAAUAAUUUUAGUGCGAUUUUUUUUAGUGUGUCAUUGCUAAAAAAAUAAUAACAAAUUGAAAUCAAUGGUCUUUUGAAAGUGCCCUGCGAUGAGGUGGCGACUUGUCCAGGGUGUACCAUGCCUUCCGCCCGAUUGUAGCUGAGGUAGGCACCAGCGCCCCCCGCCACCCCAAAGGGAAUAAGCGGUAGGAAAUGGAUGGAUGGAUGGGUGUUGUGUGUUGACAUUUUUAAGGCUCCAAUUAUUCUAUAAUCUCAAAUAUUCCACUUUAAAAUUCUAUUGGGGGAAACUAUUGCAUAUUUGGUGUUUUUUUCCCCCAUAACAAAACAGGGUUUUCUUUGACAAAAAGGGUAUACAACUUAAAUCUUUAAAAAUAAUAGACCUAAUGUUGAUCUAUAGAUUUAAACCUUGAAUAACAAUAGUACAAAAUAAUGUUACAUUUUGGGGUCCCUGGGAUCAAGCCUGAGUGGAGGCCUAAAUGUAUAUUUUUACACAUAUAUUGUAUUGGUUUUUGAAAUAAAAACAUAUCAAAAUGGCUCCCGCUUGCUUUGAUUUUUCAGUGUGCGGCCCUCAGUGGAAAAAGUUUGGACACCCCUGAGCUAGACGCACCACAUAGUCACACCAUACACCUCUGGAAUUACGACACACAUCAUUUUAUUAUAUUAAUAAAUACGCCUAAGGCUAAAGGAGGUCCCUGCCUCAGUGCCCUCUCCUUCUCCACUGAACCAUUACAUUAUGUCCCAUGCCUUAAUGUCACCUUGUUGUGUGUGAUAUACUGCAUUUGUCAUGUUGGUCAAGUGCAGAGUUACAGUUAUGUAAAACACACUCAAAUACAGCGUAGUACCAUUUAAAGCUACAGACACACAAACCAGCGUGUUGUUAAAAGCACUUUUAAAACUGUCUACACUCCAGCAUCACGUCUAGAUUUGGGGCAAGAUUCUUCCAAUAUGCUGUUGUGGGACCUCUGAGACUUAUCUAAACUUGUUGGAAUAUACUAAAAAAUGGGACCUUUACUAUCAUAUGCAUUUAGGUAUACUGUAUGUGUGCGUGGCUUGAUGAUGAUGUUGCAUUAUGAGCUCAGAUAUUCCCUGAAAAGGAGGGAAAGUACAAAGUGCAGGAAAUAUAGAAAGGUGAUAGGAUACUGUUGUUUUUGUCCUUAGUGUUAUCAGUUUGACACAUUCUAAUUGAGGCUCUUUGCCUUUACCUGACAGGCAGGCAGUGGAGUCCAUCCACUUGAGAAGCUGCCCAGCGCUCAGCUCGCCGCAGUGGUUGGAAUGGCAGGGCAGCACUAUUUGACUCAUUUUCACUUCCGUGGGGUUUCUGUACGGCUCGCCGUUCUCCGUCACGUUGUGGUCGUCGUUCACCUCUGACAUCAUGACUACACAGACAGGGGACAUGUGACAGCGAGUCACGGUGUCAAACAUGUCAUUGCAGUUAAGCUGUUGCACACUGUAAAACUUUUAGUUCUAAAUUCACAGCAGACUGUUUAAUAACUGCAUUAUUUUUACAGCAACACCUACAGUAAUUUACUGUGGAAUGUCUGUUUAUGCUUAAUCACAAUAAGUAAAUGCUCUAACUCACAUGCGGCUCUUAAGUGCCACCCUAAAGGCUCCCUGGAGCAUUUUUUAAAAAAGGAUUGAAAAUUGAAAAAGGUUUGGGAAAAUUUUUGUUUCUGUAUGUUUUUUUGUUUGAGGACAAAAAUGACACACACCUUUUCAAUUGUUUGAAAGCUUACUGUUUAAUAUGUUUGUGUGUAUGCUUCACUGAUGAGAGCAUUUGGUGAAAACCAUUCUUGAACUCACCAUAGUGUGGUCUGUGACCCAACAGUUUGUUUGUAUGUAAAAUCUUCCACUCCUUCUUUGUCUCAUUUUGUCAAUCAAAAGUUUUAUGCUGGGUGUGAAUGCACAAAGGUGAGCUUUGUU
Molecule: long non-coding RNA, 2841 nt
Organism: Nerophis ophidion (straightnose pipefish)
Lineage: Eukaryota; Metazoa; Chordata; Actinopteri; Syngnathiformes; Syngnathidae
Exons: 2
Source: RefSeq, a predicted model, not a curated record